This is a long non-coding RNA of Mangifera indica (mango), 1504 nucleotides long. RefSeq lists it as uncharacterized. The record is from RefSeq and is a predicted model, not a curated record. Lineage: Eukaryota; Viridiplantae; Streptophyta; Magnoliopsida; Sapindales; Anacardiaceae. The transcript has 6 exons.
UAUAAUGGUUAAAACUAAUAGAUGGAUUGAUAUUUAGGUUUUAAAAAAUUAGCGGGGACAUUUAAAACUCUAAACCUUGGUAGGCAAAAGAUGUUUGGCCGUUAUUCUUUUGCUCAAAUUGAAAUAUCUUACGGGAUGAGAAAGAUGGGUUGCAAAGAAUUCCAUGAAGGCGACAACGCAAAUUCCAAGCACUUGCGAAGGACCUUUCAUUGAGAAGUUUAUCAGUCAUCUUACUGGAUGAGAAAGAUGGGUUGCAAAGAAUUCCAGGAAGGUGAUAACGUAAAUUCCAAGCACUUGCGAAGGACCUUUCAUUGAGAAGUUUAUCAGUCAAAAUAUUAGAGUGAGUCGAACUUCCUCUCCUUGUAGUUCUGAGACAUGGUUAUUUAAUUAAACCAAGCAUCAAAUUUCAUCUACAGAGUUGUUAUCAUGCUGCACAAGACACACACGGGCAUAAAAUUAUUAUUUAUCUGAUUUAUUUUUAAGUGCAAUUGUUGUUAUAAAGACAUGAAUUUGUUGCUCAAGGGUUCAACUUUCAGCCCCUAAACAAAUAUUUCUUGUCUCACUGCGGUUUCUUGCACUACAAUAGAGGAGAAGAUGAUUAAGUUUACCAAAUUCAUUCUAAAUGACAGUACUCACAAUUGGAGAACAGUGCCAGGAAGAACAGUGCCUGCGCAAGUCCCAGAUACACAAACACGCUUCCUACAGUCCCUGCAUUGAUAGCCAGUAGAACCUCAAACAUCCAUUCUGAUUCUCUACAAUGUGGCAUGGUCACCCGUGUUGCAGCAAUAAAAGCAAUUGCCAUGAAUGACACAGCCACCCACACGAACUUCUUACACAAAUCCUUUGCUUCUGUUAAGGACACUGGCUCUAGUGGUUUAUCAUCUUGAAAAUCUGGUUUUUUUAAGGAGGGAACAUCAAGUAAAUCCUUUGUUGACAUUGGUUCCUUGUUUGGUGUUGGCAAGAAACCACAAGAUUUGCUGAUGCGCUUGCGUUGAGACUUGGUGAUUUUGCUGACAUGCUGGAACUUGGUGGUGUAGUCAUAACCUCUGGCUGGUAGCCAAGUUUGAAGUCUAAGGGCAACUCAUGACCAUUGCCUAUAUCAAUCAGAUAUUGAAGCAGGCUCCUGUUUUUUAUCUCAAGUAUAUCUUUGGAGUUUUCAAGUGUCGGUUGUUGAGCACUAAUUUGUUGGACCCCUGUUUCCUCUAGAGACUGCAAGAUGUAAUAUGGUGUUGCCACAUUGAUCUUUCUUAAGGAGAAGAUCAGAUGAUGUGAAGAAAUUUGCCAGGGACACAAGUGUGUCAUAUUGGUUGAAAUUUACUGCAAGAUGGAACACUGUUUCUCCCUCUUUUGUCAGAUCCUGGAAUGAAAGCAAGGUCUUGAUCAAGCCUCAAAAACAAUCUUGUUAUCUCCAAGUAUCCUCUGCUACAAGCACAGUGUAACGGAGAAUACCCAUUCUUGUUGCUCUUUCGAGCAAAAUUUGGCCGCACCUCCAGUAUGUUCUGAA